RNAcentral lists this ribosomal RNA (323 nucleotides) under uncultured Bacillota bacterium. RNAcentral's name for it is "bacterial SSU rRNA". It matches the Rfam family "Bacterial small subunit ribosomal RNA", at positions 28 to 351 of the family's 1533-position model. Lineage: Bacteria; Bacillati; Bacillota. The record is from RNAcentral.
GACGAACGCUGGCGGCGUGCUUAACACAUGCAAGUUGAACGGAGAUAUCGUUUUCGGAUGAUAUCUUAGUAGCGGACGGGUGAGUAACGCGUGAGCAACCAACCUUUGUGAGGGGGACAACAGCUGGAAACGGCUGCUAAUACCGCAUAAGACCACGGUUUCGCAUGGAACUGAGGUAAAAGAAAUUCGCACAAAGACGGGCUCGCGUCCCAUUAGCUAGUUGGUGAGGUAACGGCUCACCAAGGCAGCGAUGGGUAGCCGACCUGAGAGGGUGAUCGGCCACACUGGAACUGAGACACGGUUCAGACUCCUACGGGUGGCAG